AACGAACGCUGGCGGCAUGCCUAACACGUGCAAGUCGAACGAGACCUUCGGGUCUAGUGGCGCACGGGUGCGUAACGCGUGGGAACCUGCCCUUAGGUUCGGAAUAACUCCCCGAAAGGGGUGCUAAUACCGGAUAAUGUCUUCGGACCAAAGAUUUAUCGCCUUUGGAUGGGCCCGCGUUGGAUUAGCUAGUUGGUAGGGUAAAAGCCUACCAAGGCGACGAUCCAUAGCUGGUCUGAGAGGAUGAUCAGCCACACUGGGACUGAGGCACGGCCCAGACUCCUACGGGAGGCAGCAGUGGGGAAUAUUGGACAAUGGGCGAAAGCCUGAUCCAGCAAUGCCGCGUGAGUGAUGAAGGCCUUAGGGUUGUAAAGCUCUUUUACCCGGGAUGAUAAUGACAGUACCGGGAGAAUAAGCUCCGGCUAACUCCGUG
Molecule: ribosomal RNA, 433 nt
Filed under: uncultured bacterium
Lineage: Bacteria
Description: partial 16S ribosomal RNA
Rfam family: Bacterial small subunit ribosomal RNA
Source: RNAcentral